CAAUUAUUUAACGUGACAGAAAUGUACAUUUUGACGUAAAAAUCAACGGUCUCAAUUUAGAAACAAAUUUUUUAUUUUCUUUUACACAAAAUUCCAGUUAUUUUAAUAUUUAAAAAAUUAUGGCCGGUAAUGGAAUGAAAGCGAAAGCCCCAAAAAGAAAAUGUGAUAGAAAAGGUUGUCAUAAAGCAAGAACAAGAAAUGGAUUUAUCAUUUUCUUCAUGAGAUUGUUGAAGUGUAUGCCGACUAAAUGUGUAACGCACGUUGCGCAAAUUGCUGGAAAAAAAUGGGCGAAAAUGCCAAAGGAAGAAAAAUGCAAAUUUCUCACAUUGGGCCGUAAAUCAUCGCAGAAAAAGAGUCGUAAACGAAGGAAACCAAAAUAUUCUUCCUGCAGAUCAUCGUAAAUUUUUACAAGAUUCCUGAAAGCCGGUGGAAGUAAAUUUUGCUGUUGGAGAAAAAUUGAACGACCCAGGGUUAAAUUAAAUUUUUCGGCCGAAUUUUUAAUCUUCAUAAACGUCAUAUUCCAGUGUCAACAAAAAUUGUGAUAAUUUUGUGAAAGUCCCAAGUAAUUUCAUUCUUCAAGGUGAAAGAAAAAUUUGUACAUUUUUUUUUAACUAUUUAUCAUUGCUACACAUUUUUUUUUAUAAAAAUUU
Molecule: long non-coding RNA, 650 nt
Organism: Leptopilina heterotoma
Lineage: Eukaryota; Metazoa; Arthropoda; Insecta; Hymenoptera; Figitidae
Exons: 3
Source: RefSeq, a predicted model, not a curated record